GAAAUGUAACCGGAAGCAGGAACUAUGGGGACGGGGUGAGCGCCCUCCCACUUACAGCUGCAGGUAAAUAUGAAGGU
Molecule: long non-coding RNA, 77 nt
Organism: Protopterus annectens (West African lungfish)
Lineage: Eukaryota; Metazoa; Chordata; Ceratodontiformes; Protopteridae
Exons: 3
Source: RefSeq, a predicted model, not a curated record